GGCAUAUUUUAUUUGUAAUGUUCAUGUUUCAUGUUGCCUAACACUUAGUGAAGCAAUGUGCCAUUAGAGAUUCCUCAAAGAAUUUAUUGACUUUCACAUACUCUCAGACUUGUUUUUCAUAUUCAUGCUUUUAUAAACUAGGAGAAGAUAAUAUUUUCUUAAUAAGCAAGCAGUUAGGUUGGUUCAAGACCCUUUCAGUCAUCCAGGAAAUCAAUGAUUUUUGUUUUGCAGCUUAGCAUGUCAG
This 244-nucleotide unclassified non-coding RNA is filed under the name Hevea brasiliensis (rubber tree). Lineage: Eukaryota; Viridiplantae; Streptophyta; Magnoliopsida; Malpighiales; Euphorbiaceae. The record is from RNAcentral.